ACCUCUACUUCAUCACUUUCCCCUUUGCACUGGAGCCCCUCUAGGGCAUGUCUUAAAUGUCAUUCAGAAAUUAAGAGCACCAGACCCGCUGGGUGAAAAGGAAGAAUAUUGAAGAAAGAAAAAAAUAAUGUGAAAAAAAGUCAACCCUUCUUAGAAACACAAAAAGUAAUUUGCCACUUAAUUGUUAUCCU
Molecule: long non-coding RNA, 191 nt
Filed under: Bos indicus x Bos taurus (hybrid cattle)
Lineage: Eukaryota; Metazoa; Chordata; Mammalia; Artiodactyla; Bovidae
Description: lncRNA (ENSBIXG00000028586.1)
Source: RNAcentral